GACGAACGCUGGCGGCGUGCCUAAUACAUGCAAGUCGAACGCAUUUUCUUUCACCGUAGCUUGCUACACCGAAAGAAAAUGAGUGGCGAACGGGUGAGUAACACGUGGGCAACCUGCCCAUCAGCGGGGGAUAACACUUGGAAACAGGUGCUAAUACCGCAUAAUUCCAUUUACCGCAUGGUAGAGGGAUGAAAGGCGCUUUUGCGUCACUGAUGGAUGGACCCGCGGUGCAUCAGCUAGUUGGUGGGGUAACGGCCUACCAAGGCUGCGAUGCAUAGCCGACCUGAGAGGGUGAUCGGCCACACUGGGACUGAGACACGGCCCAGACUCCUACGGGAGGCAGCAGUAGGGAAUCUUCGGCAAUGGACGCAAGUCUGACCGAGCAACGCCGCGUGAGUGAAGAAGGUUUUCGGAUCGUAAAACUCUGUUGUUAGAGAAGAACAAGGAUGAGAGUGGAAAGUUCAUCCCUUGACGGUAUCUAACCAGAAAGCCACGGCUAACUACGUG
This 507-nucleotide ribosomal RNA is filed under the name uncultured bacterium. Its description in RNAcentral is "partial 16S ribosomal RNA". It matches the Rfam family "Bacterial small subunit ribosomal RNA", at positions 28 to 507 of the family's 1533-position model. The record is from RNAcentral.